CCUACGGGAGGCUGCAGUGGGGAAUAUUGGACAAUGGGGGCAACCCUGAUCCAGCCAUGCCGCGUGUGUGAAGAAGGCCCUCGGGUUGUAAAGCACUUUCAGUGAGGAAGAACGCCUGGUGGUUAAUACCCAUCAGGAAAGACAUCACUCACAGAAGAAGCACCGGCUAACUCCGUGCCAGCAGCCGCGGUAAUACGGAGGGUGCGAGCGUUAAUCGGAAUUACUGGGCGUAAAGCGCGCGUAGGUGGCUUGAUAAGCCGGUUGUGAAAGCCCCGGGCUCAACCUGGGAACGGCAUCCGGAACUGUCAAGCUAGAGUGCAGGAGAGGAAGGUAGAAUUCCCGGUGUAGCGGUGAAAUGCGUAGAGAGCGGGAGGAAUACCAGUGGCGAAGGCGGCCUUCUGGACUGACACUGACACUGAGGUGCGAAAGCGUGGGUAGCAAACAGGAUUAGAUACCCGGGUAGUC
RNAcentral lists this ribosomal RNA (465 nucleotides) under Vreelandella stevensii. RNAcentral describes it as "partial 16S ribosomal RNA". It matches the Rfam family "Bacterial small subunit ribosomal RNA", at positions 338 to 795 of the family's 1533-position model. Lineage: Bacteria; Pseudomonadati; Pseudomonadota; Gammaproteobacteria; Oceanospirillales; Halomonadaceae. The record is from RNAcentral.